CUAUACAUGCAGUCGAGCGGACCGACGGGAGCUUGCUCCCUUAGGUCAGCGGCGGACGGGUGAGUAACACGUGGGUAACCUGCCUGUAAGACUGGGAUAACUCCGGGAAACCGGGGCUAAUACCGGAUGCUUGAUUGAACCGCAUGGUUCAAUCAUAAAAGGUGGCUUUUAGCUACCACUUACAGAUGGACCCGCGGCGCAUUAGCUAGUUGGUGAGGUAACGGCUCACCAAGGCGACGAUGCGUAGCCGACCUGAGAGGGUGAUCGGCCACACUGGGACUGAGACACGGCCCAGACUCCUACGGGAGGCAGCAGUAGGGAAUCUUCCGCAAUGGACGAAAGUCUGACGGAGCAACGCCGCGUGAGUGAUGAAGGUUUUCGGAUCGUAAAACUCUGUUGUUAGGGAAGAACAAGUACCGUUCGAAUAGGGCGGCACCUUGACGGUACCUAACCAGAAAGCCACGGCUAACUACGUGCCAGCAGCCGCGGUAAUACGUAGGUGGCAAGCGUUGUCCGGAAUUAUUGGGCGUAAAGCGCGCGCAGGCGGUUUCUUAAGUCUGAUGUGAAAGCCCCCGGCUCAACCGGGGAGGGUCAUUGGAAACUGGGGAACUUGAAUGCAGAAGAGGAGAGUGGAAUUCCACGUGUAGCGGUGAAAUGCGUAGAGAUGUGGAGGAACACCAGUGGCGAAGGCGACUCUCUGGUCUGUAACUGACGCUGAGGCGCGAAAGCGUGGGGAGCGAACAGGAUUAGAUACCCUGGUAGUCCACGCCGUAAACGAUGAGUGCUAAGUGUUAGAGGGUUUCCGCCCUUUAGUGCUGCAGCAAACGCAUUAAGCACUCCGCCUGGGGAGUACGGUCGCAAGACUGAAACUCAAAGGAAUUGACGGGGGCCCGCACAAGCGGUGGAGCAUGUGGUUUAAUUCGAAGCACG
RNAcentral lists this ribosomal RNA (930 nucleotides) under Bacillus licheniformis. Its description in RNAcentral is "bacterial SSU rRNA". It matches the Rfam family "Bacterial small subunit ribosomal RNA", at positions 49 to 960 of the family's 1533-position model. The record is from RNAcentral. Lineage: Bacteria; Bacillati; Bacillota; Bacilli; Caryophanales; Bacillaceae.